UACGUAGGGGGCGAGCGUUGUCCGGAAUCAUUGGGCGUAAAGCGCGUGUAGGCGGUCCGGUAAGUCCGCUGUGAAAGUCGGGGGCUCAACCCUCGGAUGCCGGUGGAUACUGCCGGGCUAGAGUCCGGAAGAGGCGAGUGGAAUUCCUGGUGUAGCGGUGGAAUGCGCAGAUAUCAGGAGGAACACCAAUAGCGAAGGCAGCUCGCUGGGACGGUACUGACGCUGAGGCGCGAAAGCGUGGGGAGCAAACAGG
This 253-nucleotide ribosomal RNA is filed under the name uncultured bacterium. RNAcentral describes it as "partial 16S ribosomal RNA". It matches the Rfam family "Bacterial small subunit ribosomal RNA", at positions 524 to 776 of the family's 1533-position model. The record is from RNAcentral.